Manis javanica (Malayan pangolin) is the source of this 571-nucleotide long non-coding RNA. RefSeq lists it as uncharacterized. The record is from RefSeq and is a predicted model, not a curated record. Lineage: Eukaryota; Metazoa; Chordata; Mammalia; Pholidota; Manidae.
AGGACAGACAGGUCGGGGACCUGGAGCCACCGUGCUGCAUGUCACCUCCUUUAGGCAGGCAGUGGAUUGCAGACCAGGAGAAGCCACUGUAACAAGCCGAGGGCAGCUUGGGGUCUCCACUGCCAGACCCACCCCUUCAUGCCCGAACCUGGGGCUCCAAGCCUAUGGGAGCACCAGGACUAGAGUCAGCUCACCAGGACAAGGAACAUCACCCAAGCCUGCCAACCUGACAUUUGGGUCCCACCAGAACAACUCUUGAACUUCAAAGGGCCCUGAUGAGGACACCAGAGGAGAAACACAUCUUUCUCCCUCAUGAAAUCUAGAGGAUGAAGCACAGCCAGGGGGGGGCCCUGUAACAGGGUGAGAGCAGCUCAGCACCCCUGCCUCCUUCACUGCACACAGACCUCUUGCUCGAAGCUGCUCAGCACCCCAAGAGAGCGUUACACAUGUCUAGCAACAGUGACUAUCCUGUCCAAGACUUUCCAGGAACACUGUAGCCAGACCUACAUUGACAAGAGCCACUCACCAAGGAAGAGGAUUGUUCUACCGCCUGCCUUGGGCCUUCAGGGGC